This 346-nucleotide unclassified non-coding RNA is filed under the name soil metagenome. RNAcentral describes it as "partial contains 5.8S ribosomal RNA, internal transcribed spacer 2, and large subunit ribosomal RNA". The stretch from base 1 to 120 matches the Rfam family "5.8S ribosomal RNA", at positions 35 to 154 of the family's 154-position model. The record is from RNAcentral.
GAUGAAGAACGUCAGCGAAAUGCGAUACGUAAUGUGAAUUGCAAAUUCAGUGAAUCAUCGAGUCUUUGAACGCACAUUGCGCCCCCUGGUAUUCCGGGGGGCAUGCCUGUCCGAGCGUCAUUGCUGCCCUCAAGCACGGCUUGUGUGUUGGGCCCCGUCCUCCGAUCCCGGGGGACGGGCCCGAAAGGCAGCGGCGGCACCGCGUCCGGUCCUCGAGCGUAUGGGGCUUUGUCACCCGCUCUGUAGGCCCGGCCGGCGCUUGCCGAUCAACCCAAAUUUUUAUCCAGGUUGACCUCGGAUCAGGUAGGGAUACCCGCUGAACUUAAGCAUAUCAAUAAGCGGAGGA